RNAcentral lists this long non-coding RNA (361 nucleotides) under Rattus norvegicus (Norway rat). RNAcentral describes it as "long non-coding RNA NONRATT032573". Lineage: Eukaryota; Metazoa; Chordata; Mammalia; Rodentia; Muridae. The record is from RNAcentral.
CAGCAGAGUGUUUCUAGCAUCUGUGUGGUCAAAGUAUAAUAAUGUUGCUUUUUAGAUGUUCCUGUCUUAGGACUUGCGCUCUCCCAGGGGUCAAGGGAGAAGAUAGCCUCAGCUUUGCUCACUCGGAACCCCCAGCCGGGACCUGUCUCAGUUGCUUCCCUCGUCCAUAGUUGAAGCCCAUGAGUGCUCUGUAGUUGGGGCUUAUGGAUGAUGAACCUGUCAUACAGAAUCCGUUGGAACCUGCUCAGAUGGGUCCUGAGAGUUUAAAACAACAAUACUACGAAGAGAGAGCUGGCCCAAGAACAGACUUGAGGAAGAAGGAAAAAUCCACAGCCACUACAGAGAGCCUUUUGUUCACCAG